RNAcentral lists this ribosomal RNA (253 nucleotides) under uncultured bacterium. Its description in RNAcentral is "partial 16S ribosomal RNA". It matches the Rfam family "Bacterial small subunit ribosomal RNA", at positions 524 to 776 of the family's 1533-position model. The record is from RNAcentral.
UACGAAGGGUGCAAGCGUUAAUCGGAAUUACUGGGCGUAAAGCGUGCGCAGGCGGUUCGUUGUGUCGGCGGUGAAAGCCCCGGGCUUAACCUGGGAAUGGCCGUUGAAACUGGCGAACUGGAGUGUGGCAGAGGGGGGUGGAAUUCCGCGUGUAGCAGUGAAAUGCGUAGAGAUGCGGAGGAACACCGAUGGCGAAGGCAGCCCCCUGGGCUAACACUGACGCUCAGGCACGAAAGCGUGGGGAGCAAACAGG